UACGAAGGGGGCUAGCGUUGUUCGGAAUCACUGGGCGUAAAGGGCGCGUAGGCGGCCGAUCAAGUCGGGGGUGAAAGCCUGUGGCUUAACCACAGAAUGGCCUUCGAUACUGUUUGGCUUGAGACCGGAAGAGGUUAGUGGAACUGCGAGUGUAGAGGUGAAAUUCGUAGAUAUUGGGAAGAACACCGGUGGCGAAGGCGGCGCUCUGGACCGAGACUGACGCUGAGGCGCGAAAGCGUGGGGAGCAAACAGG
This 253-nucleotide ribosomal RNA is filed under the name uncultured bacterium. Its description in RNAcentral is "partial 16S ribosomal RNA". It matches the Rfam family "Bacterial small subunit ribosomal RNA", at positions 524 to 776 of the family's 1533-position model. The record is from RNAcentral.